Molecule: ribosomal RNA, 492 nt
Filed under: uncultured bacterium
Lineage: Bacteria
Description: partial 16S ribosomal RNA
Rfam family: Bacterial small subunit ribosomal RNA
Source: RNAcentral
GAUGAGCGCUAGCUACAGGCUUAACACAUGCAAGUCGAGGGGAAACGACAUCGAAAGCUUGCUUUUGAUGGGCGUCGACCGGCGCACGGGUGAGUAACGCGUAUCCAACCUGCCCAUCACUUGGGGAUAACCUUGCGAAAGUAAGACUAAUACCCAAUGAUAUCUCUAGAAGACAUCUGAAAGAGAUUAAAGAUUUAUCGGUGAUGGAUGGGGAUGCGUCUGAUUAGCUUGUUGGCGGGGUAACGGCCCACCAAGGCAACGAUCAGUAGGGGUUCUGAGAGGAAGGUCCCCCACAUUGGAACUGAGACACGGUCCAAACUCCUACGGGAGGCAGCAGUGAGGAAUAUUGGUCAAUGGGCGAGAGCCUGAACCAGCCAAGUAGCGUGCAGGAAGACGGCCCUAUGGGUUGUAAACUGCUUUUAUAAGGGAAUAAAGUGAGAGUCGUGACUCUUUUUGUAUGUACCUUAUGAAUAAGGACCGGCUAAUUCCGUG